AACGCUAGCUACAGGCUUAACACAUGCAAGUCGAGGGGCAGCGGGAAUGUUAGCAAUAACAUUUGCCGGCGACCGGCGCACGGGUGAGUAACACGUAUGCAACCUGCCCGUAGCAGGGGGAUAAGCGGAAGAAAUUCCGUCUAAUACCGCGUAAUAUCCUUUAGGGGCAUCCCUUUGGGAUUAAAGAAAUUCGGCUACGGAUGGGCAUGCGGCGCAUUAGCUAGUUGGCGGGGUAACGGCCCACCAAGGCGACGAUGCGUAGGGGUUCUGAGAGGAAGGUCCCCCACACUGGUACUGAGACACGGACCAGACUCCUACGGGAGGCAGCAGUGAGGAAUAUUGGUCAAUGGGCGAGAGCCUGAACCAGCCAAGUCGCGUGAGGGAAGACGGUCCUAUGGAUUGUAAACCUCUUUUGUCGGGGAGCAACGAGGCCACGCGUGGCCGCAGUAAGAGUACCCGAAGAAAAAGCAUCGGCUAACUCCGUGCCAGCAGCCGCGGUAAUACGGAGGAUGCGAGCGUUAUCCGGAUUUAUUGGGUUUAAAGGGUGCGUAGGCGGAAGGUUAAGUCAGUGGUCAAACUGCGGAGCUCAACUCCGUAUCGCCAUUGAAACUGGUCUUCUUGAGUGAGUGAGAAGUAUGCGGAAUGCGUGGUGUAGCGGUGAAAUGCAUAGAUAUCACGCAGAACUCCGAUUGCGAAGGCAGCAUACCGGCACUCAACUGACGCUGAAGCACGAAAGCGUGGGUAUCGAACAGGAUUAGAUACCCUGGUAGUCCACGCAGUAAACGAUGAAUACUAAUUGUCCGGCCGGAAUGACGGCUGGGUGAUACAGCGAAAGCGUUAAGUAUUCCACCUGGGGAGUACGCCGGCAACGGUGAAACUCAAAGGAAUUGACGGGGGCCCGCACAAGCGGAGGAACAUGUGGUUUAAUUCGAUGAUACGCGAGGAACCUUACCCGGGCUCAAACGACAGGGGAAUAUCUCCGAAAGGGGAUAGCCUUCAUGGCCGCUGUCGAGGUGCUGCAUGGUUGUCGUCAGCUCGUGCCGUGAGGUGUCGGCUUAAGUGC
RNAcentral lists this ribosomal RNA (1063 nucleotides) under uncultured Bacteroidales bacterium. Its description in RNAcentral is "bacterial SSU rRNA". It matches the Rfam family "Bacterial small subunit ribosomal RNA", at positions 32 to 1087 of the family's 1533-position model. The record is from RNAcentral. Lineage: Bacteria; Pseudomonadati; Bacteroidota; Bacteroidia; Bacteroidales.